GAUCAAUGGCUCAGAUUGAACGCUGGCGGCAUGCCUUACACAUGCAAGUCGAACGGCAGCACGGACUUCGGUCUGGUGGCGAGUGGCGAACGGGUGAGUAAUAUAUCGGAACAUACCCUAGAGUGGGGGAUAACGUAGCGAAAGUUACGCUAAUACCGCAUACGAACUAAGGUUGAAAGCGGGGGGAUCUUCGGACCUCGUGCUCAUGGAGUGGCCGAUAUCUGAUUAGCUAGUUGGUGAGGUAAAGGCUCACCAAGGCGACGAUCAGUAGCUGGUUUGAGAGAACGACCCAGCCACACUGGAACUGAGACACGGUCCAGACUCCUACGGGAGGCAGCAGUGGGGAAUUUUGGACAAUGGGCGCAAGCCUGAUCCAGCAAUGCCGCGUGAGUGAAGAAGGCCUUCGGGUUGUAAAGCUCUUUUGUCAGGGAAGAAACGGUGAGUCCUAAUAUGGCUUGCUAAUGACGGUACCUGAAGAAUAAGCACCGGCUAACUACGUG
Molecule: ribosomal RNA, 500 nt
Filed under: uncultured bacterium
Lineage: Bacteria
Description: bacterial SSU rRNA
Rfam family: Bacterial small subunit ribosomal RNA
Source: RNAcentral